Long non-coding RNA from Herpailurus yagouaroundi (jaguarundi), 2283 nucleotides. RefSeq lists it as uncharacterized. Lineage: Eukaryota; Metazoa; Chordata; Mammalia; Carnivora; Felidae. The record is from RefSeq and is a predicted model, not a curated record. The transcript has 2 exons.
CCCGCCGGGCCUGCGCUGACCUCUCCUCUUGCCCCCUCGGGCCACCAGCCAUGUCUUCCUCUGUAGACAGGCGUGAGGGGCCGGUGGUGGCCGUGGAGCUGGUGGCCCAGGAGUGAGAGGGGCCUCGCCGCCCCAGCACGUGAAUAUGGAUUUGUGCCUAAGGACAGGCGGUGGCGGGCUCCGGCCCUAAUUAGUGCGCGAUGGCUGCUCCCUCUGCCCCUGGGAGCCGGGGUGGGGGUAGGGGGGCAUCAAAGGAAGGCAGCCUGCUAAUCCCCCUCUUCCAAGGGCGGCAUCUGCUCCCUCCCUCCCCCGGGCGCGUCUCUCUGACAGCAGGCCGCGAGAGUCUCGGCUAUUUAAUUAGGCCCGAAAGUUCCCCCAACCCUGGGAAAUGAUUUCAUUUCAAUAUUUCCUUUGCCGAGCGCGACACCCUCCCCCAUCCUCAAAGGCCUUUCAUCUGCGGCUCGGCCCAUCCCCCGCCAGGGGCCUCUCCCCUCCCCUCUCAUUGGCGUCCUGUUCAAGGGGCCAGGCUGGGCCAGGGGCGGCGGUGGCGGCUGGUCUUUGAGACAGGCGCCGCCCCCCCCCCCCGCCCCAGCCAUUGGCCCAGCUGCGGCUGGUAACCAGCUGCGAGCAUCCUGCCAGCCUGGCCUCCCGCCCGCACGCCCUGGGUCCUACCCCAGACCUUGGCCAAGCAGCUCCCUCUCCAGGCGUGCCCCGCCCCCCCCCUCCCGGGGGCAGGUCCAGGCCGCGUGAGGAGCCGCCCGCCCUGAGACAUGAUGUCACACGGAGCUCGUCCCUCCCUGCUUUUGUCAGCCUCUGCUGGCCGGGUCACCCUUUGCGGGCCCCAGUCCCGCCUGCCUGAUUCUGCUCCCCGUGCUGUGUGCACACACACUGCACGUGUGAGGCUGUCUGUGCGUGCUUGUGCACAUGCGUGGGGGUGCAUGGUACGCGUGGGGGUGCGAGGUUGCGUGUACCUCUGUGCCUGCGAGUGUGUGUGGUCGGCACGUGCAUGCACACGUGUACCUGUGCGUGUAUGCGUGUGCACAUGUAGGCACGUCUGUGGGAGCCCCUGAGGUCUGAGCCUGGUUCCUGUCUCUCUUUAGGCAGCUGGUGCUCCCGUCCUCCACGGACCGUGCGGGGCCAGCACCAGGCCCGGCUGCAGAGCAGAGGCUCCCGGAGGGGUGGGGGGUGGGAUCUGGGGGGCGCUGGGGGGGGAAGGUCCUGAGCUCCGGAGGCCCUCUGCAGACUCAGUCUCCACGUUUGUACAAACUCGUCCGUCCCCGAGGUCUGUGCCCAGAGCACAGCCACAGGCCCGAAGGUCAGGCCGACUUUGCCUCGGGGGGGGGGGGGGGGGGGGGGCCCCCCCCCCCCGCCCGCGCCCCCCCCCCCCGCCCUCUCUGAAGCCGUGCCCCCCACAGCGUCCUCCUCUGUCCUCCUCCACUUGGGCCCGGAGGCCCUCCUGGAGGCGGCUAAUGAGAGGUGUCAGCUGGGAGGCUCUUCUGGGGAACCCGCCGUCCUGAGCGAUUUCUACACGGGAAAGUCUAGCCUCACGGAGUCCUUUGAAUGCGUCCGAGUGACGAGUGACGAGUGACGAGUGACGAGGCAGCCCUCGGAGUCGCCGGGAGCCGGAGAGGAGAGGAGAGUGAUCUCCACUGGCCUCCUGAAUGUUCUUAAGAAGCUGUUUGUCACGCGGCCCCGAAGGCGAGACAAAACGCUCUCGCAGACAGGCGUCCCACGUCUUCACCGCGGCCAAGUCUCGACGGUAUUGAUCACGCGGCCCUGGGAUCCCCACCCCCCCCCCCCCCGCCCAGGAAGUGAGACACUCGGGGCUCCAGGGGCCCCCGCCCCUCCCCCACCCGGCACCCACUCCUCAGCGGGCCGUCGGCGUCCUCGGGGGCAGCGGGCAGCGGGGCCUGGCACGUGCUGGUCGCUCUGUGGACCCUCGGUGCCAGGAUGGAGGAACGAGAAACCAGGAGUCUGGGGGGGUCGGAGACAGGCUGUUGGAUUCUCAGCGCUACGCCCCUGCUUGGUCAGCUGGCCUCGCCCUCGGGGAUUCCUCUCCCUGCCCCCCGGGGGCUCCCUGCAAGGCCUUGGGGACCCUGGAGACAGUGACAGCCCUCCCCGUGGUGGAGGGGGGGGGCGUUCCGUGUUAUGCUCGGGAAGUGAGUGUGCACAGAACUUUGUGAAUUGCUUUCUUUCCUGUUUUAUGAACUUCUCCGAAUGCCUGCACAUUACUCUCCCCAGGGACGGGGGGAGAUAAAUAGCAAUUAAAGUCCUGUCAUCCGA